CUACGGGAGGCAGCAGUGAGGGAUAUUGCACAAUGGGGGCAACCCUGAUGCAGCGACGCCGCGUGGGUGAUGAAGGCCUUCGGGUCGUAAAACCCUUUUCUGGGUGACGAGUAAGGACGGUAGCACAGGAAUAAGUCUCGGCUAACUACGUGCCAGCAGCCGCGGUAAAACGUAGGAGACAAGCGUUAUCCGGAGUUACUGGGCGUAAAGGGCGUGCAGGCGGUUGACUAAGUUCGUCGUGAAAUCGCCCGGCUUAACCGGGCGGGGUCGAUGAAUACUGGUGAACUAGAGGACGGUAGAGGCGUGUGGAAUUCCGGGUGUAGUGGUGAAAUGCGUAGAUAUCCGGAGGAACACCAGUGGCGAAAGCGACACGCUGGGCCGUACCUGACGCUAAGACGCGACAGCAUGGGGAGCGAACGGGAUUAGAUACCCGAGUAGUCC
This 441-nucleotide ribosomal RNA is filed under the name uncultured bacterium. Its description in RNAcentral is "bacterial SSU rRNA". It matches the Rfam family "Bacterial small subunit ribosomal RNA", at positions 339 to 796 of the family's 1533-position model. The record is from RNAcentral.